Pan paniscus (pygmy chimpanzee) is the source of this 921-nucleotide long non-coding RNA. The record is from Ensembl. Lineage: Eukaryota; Metazoa; Chordata; Mammalia; Primates; Hominidae.
GUCCAGCAACAUUGCAAUAAAUGAUAUCUUCAAGGUUUUCCUGGGAGAACCUACCACAAGACAAAUUUUCUCAUUUCCAGAAGAGAUAUCUGAGUGAUAUGUGUAGUCUAAUUGAAUGGAAUGCAGAUGACCAAAGCUCAGUUAAGAUAAAGUGACACUGUGUAGUCACCUGUGCCAUUUGAAAUACUUAAUACUAUUACUGACCCCAAAGAAAAUAUAAAAUGCAAGCCAAGUCACAUCUCUGCAGAAUCACAAACAUACCGGCCAAGAUCUCUUUUCUUUUAGAACAUUUCCCCGGGAAACAUAGAGUAGUUCAUAUAAAUAUCCUGACAUCUUUCAACAGCUGGAAGGACUCAUUCUGGGUGUUAACACAGCAGGGAACUGGAAGAAUCAGAACUGGAAGAAGAAGAAGUGAUUGGCAUGCUGACACGCUGCUGUAAGAAUUGCAGUGGGGAACAAUUACAUUGCUCAAAGAACACUUCACAAUUGGAGGGAAGAGAAUUAUGUCAGUGCUGAAGGAUUUCACAGCUGUACUCCAAAACAAACCUGGAAAUGUACAUUGUAGGUACUGGAAGCAAAAGAGUCUAUUAUUUUGUCUUCUUUUAGUUCCUCGAGGUGGUCCUGAUGGAAGCUGGAGAACCACUGUUAUACUGACUGUCCAUGAUGACGAUAAAGUUCCUGUCCUCAGCUUACUGAAGGAAGGGUCUUGGAAAGCAUUCAGGUGAAUAUACCAUCUAUUUGCUAUUUACUCAUUCAUUGGUUCAUUCAUUCAUUCAGCAGACAUCUGUUGGGGUACCUUUGAGCCAUGGGAAUUCAGGCUACUGCAUGGCCAUUGUUUCUGUGUGCUCACACUCACACAAAAAUGUGAACACUCUUGUCCACACACAUUUACUUUCACUCAUGUCCCGAUCUCGAGGAAGC